UCGUGGAUUGAUUUGUCAGGUUGAUUCCGGUAACGGACGAGACCCCAACCUACUAACUAGCUCUGGUUGAUUUCCAGCCUGCCAGCUUCUUAGAGGGACUCUCGGAAUUUAACCGAAGGAGGUGGGGCAAUAACA
This 135-nucleotide ribosomal RNA is filed under the name uncultured eukaryote. RNAcentral's name for it is "partial 18S ribosomal RNA". It matches the Rfam family "Eukaryotic small subunit ribosomal RNA", at positions 1299 to 1458 of the family's 1831-position model. The record is from RNAcentral.